UACCAAAACUGUUUUUCAGAUCCAUGUCCUGAUGUAAAAGAAGUUAACUCAGCUACUGACAGAGCCGCUCAGUGGAAAAGAAGAAAAGGAUAAAAUACCUUAACCUUGAGUCCCAUCACUACCACCAUACACAGUUGUCUGUCCCACCCUGACAUCCUCUGCUCAGUAAAUGCAGUUUUUCAGGUCAGAAACAUCUGACUCCUUUCCCUCAUGAGCCAUAAGUACUCUGGACCCCAAGUGCCCAUGGUGCUCAGCUCCAGGGCCCUGUCUUUGGUCACUUAUCCUCUGGCCAAGCACUUUGAUCCAAGACCUGGCUUCACACUGCACGCCACAGGCUGCAGUAAAACACGCAGAACUGCUGGGCCCCCUAAAAAAUGGCUUCAAUUCAGGCAUGAAGAGGCACUACAUUAACCAUCAGGUGAAAUACUUCACCAGCAUCGCUCAGGAGUUCAGACAAGGUGCCUGGCUAUGUAUUAGCCAAGAGAUCACCCACAUCAUCUCCAAAAUGACUACAGGAUGAGAAGAGGAUGAACAACAAGGGAACAACAAAUUGCAAAAAUCAGACUCUUCCAGGAUAACCUCUCCUCCUCCUUCCCCAACGCUUCAGCUUUUGCCUAGAACUGACAAGUUACCCAUUUCCUCAUCCAAAUGGGGAAAAGCUGCCACGGAUCUCCAGAAGAAACAGAAGAACGAGGCCGGCCUUUGCCAAGAAGCACCAAACUCCAGGAUGCAUCUAGCCAUCACCCAGCCUGCAGCAGCCAGGGACUGCAUGGGUCCUCUUCCGCCGUUUCUCCCCAAAAUGUUCAUGCUCAGAAGGAUGAGAGAAGUGGGGGAAGGAAAGGGGGAUGAGUGAGAGCACUGCCUACUGCAAAUAUUGACAUAACCAUUAUGGGCAUGUAUAAAACUCCCAUUUGUGUUAUGUGAGCAUUAUAUUCUUUG
This is a long non-coding RNA of Cygnus olor (mute swan), 939 nucleotides long. RefSeq lists it as uncharacterized. The transcript is spliced from 2 exons. The record is from RefSeq and is a predicted model, not a curated record. Lineage: Eukaryota; Metazoa; Chordata; Aves; Anseriformes; Anatidae.